GCCAGAGUGGCGAAAUUGGUAGACGCAGGGGAUUCAAAAUCCCCCGGUGGCAACACUGUGCCGGUUCGAGUCCGGCCUCUGGUACCA
Molecule: transfer RNA, 87 nt
Filed under: Saccharospirillum sp. MSK14-1
Lineage: Bacteria; Pseudomonadati; Pseudomonadota; Gammaproteobacteria; Oceanospirillales; Saccharospirillaceae
Also listed under: 6 other names
Description: tRNA-Leu
Rfam family: tRNA
About the family: Transfer RNA (tRNA) molecules are approximately 80 nucleotides in length. Their secondary structure includes four short double-helical elements and three loops (D, anti-codon, and T loops).
Source: RNAcentral